This 73-nucleotide transfer RNA is filed under the name Ailuropoda melanoleuca (giant panda). It matches the Rfam family "tRNA". From Rfam's summary of the family: Transfer RNA (tRNA) molecules are approximately 80 nucleotides in length. Lineage: Eukaryota; Metazoa; Chordata; Mammalia; Carnivora; Ursidae. The record is from Rfam by way of RNAcentral.
UUCUGGCUGGCUUAGUCAGCGGAGCAUGUGACUUUUGAUCUCAGGGUUGUGGGUUCAAGCCCCACGUUGGGUG